RNAcentral lists this ribosomal RNA (493 nucleotides) under uncultured bacterium. RNAcentral's name for it is "partial 16S ribosomal RNA". It matches the Rfam family "Bacterial small subunit ribosomal RNA", at positions 28 to 507 of the family's 1533-position model. The record is from RNAcentral.
GACGAACGCUGGCGGCGUGCUUAACACAUGCAAGUCGAACGGUGAAGCACCUUCCUUUUGGUGGGUGUGGAUGAGUGGCGAACGGGUGAGUAACACGUGAGUAACCUGCCCCCUUCUUCUGGAUAACCGCAUGAAAGUGUGGCUAAUACGGGAUAUUCUGGGUCUGUCGCAUGGCGGGCCUGGGAAAGAUAUUGUUUCGGUGGGGGAUGGGCUCGCGGUCUAUCAGCUUGUUGGUGGGCUGAUGGCCUACCAAGGCGGUGACGGGUAGCCGGCCUGAGAGGGUGGACGGUCACACUGGGACUGAGACACGGCCCAGACUCCUACGGGAGGCAGCAGUGGGGAAUAUUGCACAAUGGGCGCAAGCCUGAUGCAGCGACGCCGCGUGAGGGAUGGAGGCCUGCGGGUUGUAAACCUCUUUCGCCAGUGAAGCAGGCCUGUCCCUUUUGUGGGUGGGUUGACGGUAGCUGGAUAAGAAGCGCCGGCUAACUACGUG